UACGGAGGGUGCAAGCGUUAUCCGGAUUAACUGGGUUUAAAGGGGGUGUAGGCGGUUAUUUAAGUCAGAGGUGAAAUCUCCAGGCUCAACCUGGAAACUGCCUUUGAUACUAUUUAUCUUGAAUUUUGUUGAGGUAGGCGGAAUAUAUCAUGUAGCGGUGAAAUGCAUAGAUAUGAUAUAGAACACCGAUUGCGAAGGCAGCUUACUAAGCAAACAUUGACGCUGAGGCACGAAAGCGUGGGGAUCAAACAGG
RNAcentral lists this ribosomal RNA (253 nucleotides) under uncultured bacterium. Its description in RNAcentral is "partial 16S ribosomal RNA". It matches the Rfam family "Bacterial small subunit ribosomal RNA", at positions 524 to 776 of the family's 1533-position model. The record is from RNAcentral.